GGCGUAGUGGUGGAAUUGGCAGACGCGCCGGCCUCAAACGCCGGUCCCCUCGCGGGGCUGUGGGUUCGACUCCCACCUACGCCA
Molecule: transfer RNA, 84 nt
Filed under: Planctomycetaceae bacterium
Lineage: Bacteria; Pseudomonadati; Planctomycetota; Planctomycetia; Planctomycetales; Planctomycetaceae
Description: tRNA-Leu
Rfam family: tRNA
About the family: Transfer RNA (tRNA) molecules are approximately 80 nucleotides in length. Their secondary structure includes four short double-helical elements and three loops (D, anti-codon, and T loops).
Source: RNAcentral